This is an unclassified non-coding RNA of Aotus nancymaae (Ma's night monkey), 102 nucleotides long. It matches the Rfam family "Y RNA". From Rfam's summary of the family: Y RNAs are components of the Ro ribonucleoprotein particle (Ro RNP), in association with Ro60 and La proteins. Lineage: Eukaryota; Metazoa; Chordata; Mammalia; Primates; Aotidae. The record is from Ensembl.
GGCCGGUCCGAGUGCAGUGGUGUUUACAACUAAUUGAUCACAACCAGUUACAGAUUUCUUUGUUCCUUCUCCACUCCCACUGCUUCACUUGACUAGCCUUUA